UACGGGGGGGGCAAGCGUUGUUCGGAAUUACUGGGCGUAAAGGGCUCGUAGGCGGCCAACUAAGUCGGACGUGAAAUCCCCAGGCUCAACCUGGGAACUGCGUCCGAUACUGGAUGGCUUGAAUUCGGGAGAGGGAUGCAGAAUUCCAGGUGUAGCGGUGAAAUGCGUAGAUAUCGGGAGGAACACCAGUGGCGAAGGCGACUACCUGGCCUGUUCUUGACGCUGAGGCGCGAAAGCUAGGGGAGCAAACGGG
RNAcentral lists this ribosomal RNA (253 nucleotides) under uncultured bacterium. Its description in RNAcentral is "partial 16S ribosomal RNA". It matches the Rfam family "Bacterial small subunit ribosomal RNA", at positions 524 to 776 of the family's 1533-position model. The record is from RNAcentral.